Molecule: ribosomal RNA, 489 nt
Filed under: uncultured bacterium
Lineage: Bacteria
Description: partial 16S ribosomal RNA
Rfam family: Bacterial small subunit ribosomal RNA
Source: RNAcentral
UUGAACGCUGGCGGCAGGCCUAACCCAUGCAAGUCGAACGGUAACAGGAAGCAGCUUGCUGCUUCGCUGACGAGUGGCGGACGGGUGAGUAAUGUCUGGGAAGCUGCCUGAUGGAGGGGGAUAACUACUGGAAACGGUAGCUAAUACCGCAUAAUGUCGCAAGACCAAAGGGGGGGACCUUCGGGCCUCUUGCCAUCGGAUGUGCCCAGAUGGGAUUAGCUUGUUGGUGGGGUAACGGCUCACCAAGGCGACGAUCCCUAGCUGGUCUGAGAGGAUGACCAGCCACACUGGAACUGAGACACGGUCCAGACUCCUACGGGAGGCAGCAGUGGGGAAUAUUGCACAAUGGGCGCAAGCCUGAUGCAGCCAUGCCGCGUGUAUGAAGAAGGCCUUCGGGUUGUAAAGUACUUUCAGCGGGGAGGAAGGGAGUAAAGUUAAUACCUUUGCUCAUUGACGUUACCCGCAGAAGAAGCACCGGCUAACUCCGUG